UAGGAACGCCCCGACCAUACUCCGAGAACGUCAGAAACUAAGAUCACGGAAGCGUUUCUUACAAACUGCCACCGACUACGCGAGCAAUGUUCGCUGGUGGACGUCCGUGUUUUUUACUGUGACUAAAGAAGUGCGACCAAGGCAGUCCAUCGACAUGAAUUAGAAAGCAUGGGAUAACAAAGCUGCAGCCUAUGAGCUACCGUUUAGGCUUUUGUUGGUUUUAAAGGUUCGUGGGAGAUUACGGGCGUGUAGGACCGGCGUUGGGGGUUUUCCAAAAUCCCCGCGUCUCCUCCUGGCAUCGGAAACGGCGCUUGCGGGGCCUGCUUCGCUCAGGAAUGAAGGAGGGUUGCUCGGGGGAAAACGUACUUGGGCGUGAGAGGUGAAAUUCUUAGACCGCCCAAAGACGAGCUACAGCGAAGGCAUUUUCCAAGGAUACCUUCCUCAAUCAAGAACCAAAGUGUGGGGAUCGAAGAUGAUUAGAGACCAUUGUAGUCCACACCACAAACGAUGACCCCCAUGAAUUGGGGAGUUUUUGCGGAGGCGCCUCCCGGCUUGUCCGGGUGGGCGUCC
Molecule: ribosomal RNA, 570 nt
Filed under: uncultured marine eukaryote
Lineage: Eukaryota
Description: SSU rRNA
Rfam family: Eukaryotic small subunit ribosomal RNA
Source: RNAcentral